Molecule: ribosomal RNA, 1352 nt
Filed under: synthetic construct
Also listed under: 1 other name
Description: bacterial SSU rRNA
Rfam family: Bacterial small subunit ribosomal RNA
Source: RNAcentral
GACGAACGCUGGCGGCGUGCCUAACACAUGCAAGUCGAACGGAACUGUUUUGAAAGAUUUCUUCGGAAUGAAUUUGAUUUAGUUUAGUGGCGGACGGGUGAGUAACGCGUGAGUAACCUGCCUUCAAGAGGGGGAUAACAUUCUGAAAAGAAUGCUAAUACCGCAUGACAUAUCGGAAUCACAUGAUUUUGAUAUCAAAGAUUUUAUCGCUUGAAGAUGGACUCGCGUCCGAUUAGUUAGUUGGUGAGGUAACGGCCCACCAAGGCGACGAUCGGUAGCCGGACUGAGAGGUUGAACGGCCACAUUGGGACUGAGACACGGCCCAGACUCCUACGGGAGGCAGCAGUGGGGAAUAUUGCACAAUGGGGGAAACCCUGAUGCAGCGACGCCGCGUGGAGGAAGAAGGUCUUCGGAUUGUAAACUCCUGUUGUUGGGGAAGAUAAUGACGGUACCCAACAAGGAAGUGACGGCUAACUACGUGCCAGCAGCCGCGGUAAAACGUAGGUCACAAGCGUUGUCCGGAAUUACUGGGUGUAAAGGGAGCGCAGGCGGGAAGACAAGUUGGAAGUGAAAUCUAUGGGCUCAACCCAUAAACUGCUUUCAAAACUGUUUUUCUUGAGUAGUGCAGAGGUAGGCGGAAUUCCCGGUGUAGCGGUGGAAUGCGUAGAUAUCGGGAGGAACACCAGUGGCGAAGGCGGCCUACUGGGCACCAACUGACGCUGAGGCUCGAAAGUGUGGGUAGCAAACAGGAUUAGAUACCCUGGUAGUCCACACCGUAAACGAUGAUUACUAGGUGUUGGAGGAUUGACCCCUUCAGUGCCGCAGUUAACACAAUAAGUAAUCCACCUGGGGAGUACGACCGCAAGGUUGAAACUCAAAGGAAUUGACGGGGGCCCGCACAAGCAGUGGAGUAUGUGGUUUAAUUCGACGCAACGCGAAGAACCUUACCAAGUCUUGACAUCCCUUGACAGGCAUAGAAAUAUGUUUUCUCUUCGGAGCAAGGAGACAGGUGGUGCAUGGUUGUCGUCAGCUCGUGUCGUGAGAUGUUGGGUUAAGUCCCGCAACGAGCGCAACCCUUAUGGUCAGUUACUACGCAAGAGGACUCUGGCCAGACUGCCGUUGACAAAACGGAGGAAGGUGGGGAUGACGUCAAAUCAUCAUGCCCUUUAUGACUUGGGCUACACACGUACUACAAUGGCGUUAAACAAAGAGAAGCGAGACCGCGAGGUGGAGCAAAACUCAGAAACAACGUCCCAGUUCGGACUGCAGGCUGCAACUCGCCUGCACGAAGUCGGAAUUGCUAGUAAUCGUGGAUCAGCAUGCCACGGUGAAUACGUUCCCGGGCCUUGCAC